Molecule: ribosomal RNA, 496 nt
Filed under: uncultured bacterium
Lineage: Bacteria
Description: partial 16S ribosomal RNA
Rfam family: Bacterial small subunit ribosomal RNA
Source: RNAcentral
GAUGAACGCUGGCGGCGUGCCUAAUACAUGCAAGUCGAGCGAACGGACGAGAAGCUUGCUUUUCUGAUGUUAGCGGCGGACGGGUGAGUAACACGUGGAUAACCUACCUAUAAGACUGGGAUAACUUCGGGAAACCGGAGCUAAUACCGGAUAAUAUUUUGAACCGCAUGGCUCAAAAGUGAAAGACGGUCUUGCUGUCACUUAUAGAUGGAUCCGCGCUGCAUUAGCUAGUUGGUAAGGUAACGGCUUACCAAGGCAACGAUGCAUAGCCGACCUGAGAGGGUGAUCGGCCACACUGGAACUGAGACACGGUCCAGACUCCUACGGGAGGCAGCAGUAGGGAAUCUUCCGCAAUGGGCGAAAGCCUGACGGAGCAACGCCGCGUGAGUGAUGAAGGUCUUCGGAUCGUAAAACUCUGUUAUUAGGGAAGAACAUAUGUGUAAGUAACUGUGCACAUCUUGACGGUACCUAAUCAGAAAGCCACGGCUAACUACGU